This 480-nucleotide ribosomal RNA is filed under the name uncultured bacterium. RNAcentral describes it as "bacterial SSU rRNA". It matches the Rfam family "Bacterial small subunit ribosomal RNA", at positions 28 to 508 of the family's 1533-position model. The record is from RNAcentral.
GAUGAACGCUGGCGGCGUGCCUAACACAUGCAAGUCGAGCGAAGCGCUUGAAUCAGAUUCUUCGGAUGAAGGUUCUUGUGACUGAGCGGCGGACGGGUGAGUAACGCGUGGGCAACCUGCCUUACACAGGGGGAUAACAGUUAGAAAUGACUGCUAAUACCGCAUAAGACCGCGAAGCCGCAUGGCUUAGCGGUAAAAACUCCGGUGGUGUAAGAUGGGCCCGCGUCUGAUUAGGUAGUUGGCGGGGUAACGGCCCACCAAGCCGACGAUCAGUAGCCGACCUGAGAGGGUGACCGGCCACAUUGGGACUGAGACACGGCCCAGACUCCUACGGGAGGCAGCAGUGGGGAAUAUUGCACAAUGGGGGAAACCCUGAUGCAGCGACGCCGCGUGAGCGAUGAAGUAUUUCGGUAUGUAAAGCUCUAUCAGCAGGGAAGAAGAUGACGGUACCUGACUAAGAAGCCCCGGCUAACUACGUGC